RNAcentral lists this ribosomal RNA (250 nucleotides) under uncultured bacterium. RNAcentral's name for it is "partial 16S ribosomal RNA". It matches the Rfam family "Bacterial small subunit ribosomal RNA", at positions 524 to 773 of the family's 1533-position model. The record is from RNAcentral.
GACAGAGGUGGCGAGCGUUGUUCGGAUUUAUUGGGCGUAAAGCGUACGCAGGCGGUUUGGUAAGUCAGAGGUGAAAGCCCACAGCUUAACUGUGGCACUGCCUUUGAUACUGCCUUUCUAGAGUGCAUGAGGGGGAAGCGGAAUUCCGAGUGUAGAGGUGAAAUUCGUAGAUAUUCGGAGGAACACCGGUGGCGAAGGCGGCUUCCUGGCAUGUAACUGACGCUCAUGUACGAAAGCGUGGGGAGCAAAC